GCAAGACGUCGCUUCUGUCGUGAUCACGCAGCUGUGUGCUGUGACCAGACACUGCGACCCCUUCCAUGCUGCCCUUCACCGGGCCCUUCCCAUCUGGCACGAGUACCUCCUCCAGGCUCUGCUCUGGGCUUCAAGGAGGACACGUCUGCCUGUCCAGGGGUCCUCAUCGUUUGACAGAAUACAAAUUCGGCGCUCAGGUAACUUACUAUCUCUUCGGUCGGCUAAGUACACCCCAGGCUGUUUCUCAAGCAGUGUGCAUUUCGUGGUCAGGGUGGUCUUUGACGCUGACAGUCUCCGCAAGAGUGAAGGCAAUUAUGGCAGCUUAGCAUGGCCUGAUUUCACACCCAGGAGCCAGAAGUGAGGGCUCAGAGAAGAUAGAUGGUGGCAACAGAAGGCAGCUGAUGGUAAGAGGAACUGGUCACCAGGAAUGCCAACACCCCAGCAGGGGUGAGGUGGGGGCACUCUGGGUUGGAAGAACCCCUGAGCAAGGUGCCAUGACCACCACGCUGACUGACCCCUUCCCUCCAGCUGUGACAUAGAGAGAAACCAGGUGAUGCAUCUCAAGGCCUUGAGAACAAAGACUGGUGGCAAUGAAGACUGUGGAGACAGUUAGCAACAAAGCGGGAGAAGGUUCCAGCAAGUCACAUAUCCGAUGAGCAUUCUGAGAUCCAAAAUAUAUAAAAAGCUCCUGGCUACCCAAAAACUAAAGGCAAACAACCCACUUAAAAAUGAGCAAAGAACCUGGAAUACAUUUUUCAAAGGUCCAAACUGUCCACAUGGACACGAGAAGACGCUGGGCAGCAUGUUUCAUUACAGAAACGCAAGUCAAACCCACGGUGAGAUACCGCUGCUGUGAGAUGACCAGAAUCUCUGUCAAAGGAAAGUAACACAUGUUGGUAAGGAUGUGGAGAAAGUGGGGUGCUCAUAUGUGGCUGGGGAGCAUGCAGUGGAGCAGUUGUGUAGGAAACAUCUGGGAUGUGUGCCUGCAACCCCUCCACGGGCCACACGCUCCCAAGAACCCAACACAGGAACGUACACAGCAGCCAGCCAGUGUAGACAACACGGUCACACACCUACAUAAGGGCGCAGGGCAGGAGGACGGGGUGUCCCCGCUGCCCUGGGGGGGGUUACCUGAAGGUCACCUGGGGUCCCUCCAGGCGGUCACAGAUGGUGAAACCAGAAGUGGUGGUAAGUGCUGUAAGUGCCACUGAAGUGCACACUAAAAAUGGCUACACAUCCGGGACCUGUCCUCCACAAAGCCAUUCCCAUGCUGGACAAAAGAACACCCUUGCCCUAAGUGGGAACAACCCAGAGGGCAAAAGUCUUGGGCCUGCCAAGAUGACCUCAGAUGUGUCACCUGUGGAAUGUUCUGGAAGACAGACUUCUUCAUGACAAGCCUGUAAGGACAGAGGUGGCUGGAAGGUGCAUGGGAUGGGGAAGUGGGACUUAUGCAGGGACUUAAAGAAAGAUGUAAUAAAUUAUUUCUAAAGGCCACAGGCUGUUGUGUUCACUGAUUCGGGCACAGGAGAGGGCAGAGCUCCACCAGGCCUCCAGCCGCGAGAAAACAGAAACGGCUGUGGGGUCCCAGACGCACCCAGCUUUUGCGGACUGCUGUCCGGACACAUCCCAGGCCAUGGGGCCUGCCCACCCUGGGGCCAGAGCAAGGCUGCUUCAGGCCCAAUGGGCUGCGGCACCCGAGACAACCCAGAGAUCCCUGCCAAGCUCAAGUCGUUCAAACUCCCGAGUCAUCUCAACACUGUUCUUGGUCUGAGCAGGCAGCAGACCGGCCAGCUUGCAAGCGGGCUGCCCUGGGAGCCCCGCAAGGAGCCAGACCAGACUGACAUACACAGGAUGCGUUCUGAACUUUGUUGAAAUAGUGAAUAAAAGAACUUUCAGGAGACAGACCGACUCUGA
Long non-coding RNA from Mustela lutreola (European mink), 1914 nucleotides. RefSeq lists it as uncharacterized. The transcript has 3 exons. Lineage: Eukaryota; Metazoa; Chordata; Mammalia; Carnivora; Mustelidae. The record is from RefSeq and is a predicted model, not a curated record.